UGGGGAAUCUUGGACAAUGGGCGAAAGCCUGAUCCAGCCAUGCCGCGUGAGUGAUGAAGGCCCUAGGGUCGUAAAGCUCUUUCGCCAGGGAUGAUAAUGACAGUACCUGGUAAAGAAACCCCGGCUAACUCCGUGCCAGCAGCCGCGGUAAUACGGAGGGGGUUAGCGUUGUUCGGAUUUACUGGGCGUAAAGGGCGCGUAGGCGGACGAUCAAGUCAGAGGUGAAAGGCCCGGGCUCAACCUGGGACGUGCCUUUGAAACUGAUUGUCUUGAGUGCGGAAGAGGGUGACGGAAUUCCCAGUGUAGAGGUGAAAUUCGUAGAUAUUGGGAAGAACACCGGUGGCGAAGGCGGUCACCUGGUCCGCAACUGACGCUGAGGCGCGAAAGCGUGGGGAGCAAACAGGAUUAGAUACCCCCGUAGUCC
RNAcentral lists this ribosomal RNA (424 nucleotides) under uncultured prokaryote. RNAcentral describes it as "bacterial SSU rRNA". It matches the Rfam family "Bacterial small subunit ribosomal RNA", at positions 355 to 796 of the family's 1533-position model. The record is from RNAcentral.